RNAcentral lists this transfer RNA (73 nucleotides) under Thermoleophilaceae bacterium. Its description in RNAcentral is "tRNA-Lys". It matches the Rfam family "tRNA". From Rfam's summary of the family: Transfer RNA (tRNA) molecules are approximately 80 nucleotides in length. Their secondary structure includes four short double-helical elements and three loops (D, anti-codon, and T loops). The record is from RNAcentral. Lineage: Bacteria; Bacillati; Actinomycetota; Thermoleophilia; Thermoleophilales; Thermoleophilaceae.
GCCCCUGUAGCUCAGCUGGUAGAGCGGCGACCUUUUAAGUCGAUGCGCGCAGGUUCGAGUCCUGCCGGGGGCA